UCUUACACCUCACACAUCAUCAAAUCUUAUCCUUCCACUGUCUCCCACCGCUCCUGGAAAAGCAAAAGAAAAAUAAAACGCUAGCAAAAGGCCGGCGCGGAGCGCCACCACCUACCACACAACAGCCAGCCGCUGCCGUCCUCGGUGCUCCCGGCGGUCGGCGAAGGCGACCCUGGGCGUGCUGCAGCUGCUGCUCCGGAGGAACGCUUACCUGGAGCAGGAGCUCGACCUUCGCUUCCGCCUCUUCCGCUCCUGGGACUCCCCUCCCGACGGGCACGCCGAGUUCCUUCGCGCCAACGCCUCCGCCAUCGGCGCCCUCGUUGGCAACGCCGAUGCUGCAUCGAUGUGCCGCCGUCCUUCUCUGUGGGGACCGACCGCGUCGACCUCCCAAGUGCCGGGAGCACCGGAUCCGCGUCACCAACACCCCCAACUUCCUCACCGACGACGUCGCCGGCCUCGCCAUUUCCGUGCCAAGGAAGACCACGCAGGCUGACCGCUACGUGCGCGCCGGCUUGUGGAAGGCAAGAGGGACUACGUAGUCACCACGCGGACCCCGAGACCGAUGCCGCCCCUGUGAUCGACUACGUCGACAACGACCCUCCUUCUCUUUCAGCAGAGCUUCCAGGCAAGCCCCCCCUCUUUGAUCAUCCCGAUAUCGCCAGUUUCAUUCUCUCAUGCUUGCAUUAGAAUUUGCUACUGUUAUUGUUUGCUCCUAUUCUGAUGCAAGCCCGCUUUUCUAACCUGCUCAUUGUACCUUACCUGCUUAUCCUAAACUGCUUAGUAUAGGUUGGUUAGGAGAUAAUUACACGAUAGUACCACAUUUGGGGCGGUGGUGGCGAAUCGGUACCACUUUUGGAAAUUUUUACGUGUCAGUACGACGUUUGGGUCGAACCGUUGCAGAUCGGGCUAAUCUUCGUAUUUCUACGUAUUGACGCUAGAACUGACCGCCUGGGCCCGCGCGUCAGCUGCCACGCUAGCGAAUCGGCACCCACCCGCUCGCUCGAUACGUGCGGUCCGGCUCGAACCGGACCGUCCCGUGCUCUGUCUCUCCCUCCUCGCUCGUGCCUUCCUCCUCGCUCCUCUCUCGCCGCCCUCGUCGCUGCCCGCAGCGUUGCCGGACCGGAUCGCCGCCGCCCGCCAUGGUUUUCGAAGACGAAAGCAGUGAGGAGACGUCCAGCCUGCCGUACAUGCACUCGACCUCAUCCACGGACGGGCUUAACCAGGUCCCUUUUAGCGUUGAAGAUCCAGAUUAUCAGGGGCUUGAGCAGGAAACGAUGUCGCCAUGUGAGAAGCACAGGAAGGCAUCUGAGAGGCUUGUCGCAUUUGAAGGAACAAACACAGGGAGAAGGUUCUUAGCAUGUGCAGAGCCGGUAUGAAUUGUAGGGUGAUAGUUCGAUAUUAUAUUUAGGUUGAUAGUGUCAUAUUAUUGUUGGUUUGACAGUGGCAUAUUGAACAUGACUACAAGGCCUGAUUAUUAGGGCAUAUUCACUUUUGCAACAGCAGUAGCAGUAGUUUAAUGACAGUGGUACUGUUAUUUUGAAGUGGCAUUGUUCUUGCUAUCAUGUGAAAUAUUCAGUUUGGGACUUCUACAGGUUUUAUGUUGCUGUUGUGGCAUUUUUAUGUAGUUAAUGAUAGUGCACUGUUAAU
Triticum aestivum (bread wheat) is the source of this 1647-nucleotide long non-coding RNA. RefSeq lists it as uncharacterized. The record is from RefSeq and is a predicted model, not a curated record. Lineage: Eukaryota; Viridiplantae; Streptophyta; Magnoliopsida; Poales; Poaceae. The transcript has 3 exons.